GCUCUGUGAUGAAGCCCAUGCGUGUCAUCUGAGCCUGGCUUUCCUCUUAUAGCCCAGGUAGUGUUCUACUUCCCAGGGCCAUCAUGUUGGGGGAAGUCAUGGGCAAAGGAUCAGUUUUUAAAUUCUGAGAGC
Small nucleolar RNA from Cavia aperea (Brazilian guinea pig), 132 nucleotides. Ensembl annotates it as small nucleolar RNA, C/D box 10. Lineage: Eukaryota; Metazoa; Chordata; Mammalia; Rodentia; Caviidae. The record is from Ensembl.